This 297-nucleotide small nuclear RNA is filed under the name Carlito syrichta (Philippine tarsier). Its description in RNAcentral is "7SK RNA (ENSTSYG00000022157.2)". It matches the Rfam family "7SK RNA". Rfam says of the family: 7SK was discovered as an abundant small nuclear RNA in the mid-70s but a possible function has only recently been suggested. Two independent studies have found that 7SK RNA binds the CDK9/cyclin T complex (known as elongation factor P-TEFb). Lineage: Eukaryota; Metazoa; Chordata; Mammalia; Primates; Tarsiidae. The record is from Rfam by way of RNAcentral.
GGAUGUGAGGGUGAUCUGGCUAUAACAUCUGUCAUCCCAUUGAUCUCCAGUGUUGACUCAGCUGAUUUGGCUGGCUAGGCAGGUGUCCCCUUCCUCCCUCACCAUUCUGUGUGCAUUCCUCCUGAAACUGAGUGCUCAAAGAGGAUAACUGCCCCCACUAGAGAAGGACUAUUCUUUGGUCAAGUAGCUAUGCUCUCCUGCUAUAACCUCCAAACAAGUUCUCAAGAAAAAAGAAGCAAAAUCAUAUAUGUAUAAUGACCCCACUAUUAUAUAUGCAUAAGAGAAAAUGUAUUAAAU